AAGCAGGGGCAGCCCUCGGAUAAUGCAAGUGACGCAACCCAACAGUGCCCCAAUUUUUUAGGGUCCUUGAAAUUUCUUUACUUAUAUAUUAUAUAUAUUCUAGCGUGCAGUACAUUGAUACCAUUGCGUGUUUGGUGGACUUGGUUUCCAUCACAUGUCCCUUCAAAACAAAACAAAAAAAGUUUGUGCCUUCUUCUUCCUUGUAAAAUUUUAUUUUAUGGUAAGUUUUUUUUUUUUUUUUUUUGUGGUCUGGUAAGUAACCAUCACUGUUCAUCAAGCUCUUUUGUUCAAUCGUUUCACAAAUUUUGUUUUUCUUUUAAUUUCAGGAAUUUCAACACUAAAAAGCGAAAUUUCUAAAUUCAUAAAGACCAUUCAAAAUUUGUGAUUGCCAUGGUUGACAAUGAAUUUUUUUAUAAAAAAAAUUGUUUUAUGAAAUUAAGUUAUGAAAAAUUAUUUUGUUAGUAUUGUCGUAUUGAAUUAUGUGAGGACCUCAGUUUAAAUUUCGUAUAGGGCAUAACGAGUACACACGUUGAUUUUUGCUAGUUUGGCAACCAAAAAGACAUGAAAAUGAAAGGCAGAAAAACAUAUGGAAAUAGAACUCUAUCACCAUAAGUUGUGGUUAAUUAAGCAAUUAUAAGCUUAUAUGGACUCAAAAAGCCAACAAUCU
RNAcentral lists this long non-coding RNA (667 nucleotides) under Prunus persica (peach). Its description in RNAcentral is "long non-coding RNA (PPER_LNC001327)". Lineage: Eukaryota; Viridiplantae; Streptophyta; Magnoliopsida; Rosales; Rosaceae. The record is from RNAcentral.